Molecule: microRNA precursor, 118 nt
Organism: Macleaya cordata
Lineage: Eukaryota; Viridiplantae; Streptophyta; Magnoliopsida; Ranunculales; Papaveraceae
Rfam family: mir-395 microRNA precursor family
About the family: mir-395 was identified in both Arabidopsis thaliana and Oryza sativa computationally and was later experimentally verified. mir-395 is thought to target mRNAs coding for ATP sulphurylases. The mature sequence is excised from the 3' arm of the hairpin.
Source: Rfam
GUAUCCCCUAGAGUUCCUUCAAUCACUUCACCAAAAUUAAGAUCUUAAUGUAUAUCAUAUAUUAAUUAAGAUUAUUUAAUAUUUCUGAUGAAGUGUUUGGAGGAACUCUGGGUGUCAU